This 65-nucleotide transfer RNA is filed under the name Dipodomys ordii (Ord's kangaroo rat). It matches the Rfam family "tRNA". From Rfam's summary of the family: Transfer RNA (tRNA) molecules are approximately 80 nucleotides in length. Their secondary structure includes four short double-helical elements and three loops (D, anti-codon, and T loops). Further hydrogen bonds mediate the characteristic L-shaped molecular structure. tRNAs have two regions of fundamental functional importance: the anti-codon, which is responsible for specific mRNA codon recognition, and the 3' end, to which the tRNAs corresponding amino acid is attached (by aminoacyl-tRNA synthetases). tRNAs cope with the degeneracy of the genetic code in two manners: having more than one tRNA (with a specific anti-codon) for a particular amino acid; and 'wobble' base-pairing, i.e. permitting non-standard base-pairing at the 3rd anti-codon position. Lineage: Eukaryota; Metazoa; Chordata; Mammalia; Rodentia; Heteromyidae. The record is from Rfam by way of RNAcentral.
GGUGGCUCAGUGGUAGAGUGCUUGCCUUGCGUGCACGAGGCCCUGGGUUCGAUUCCUCAGCACCA